GAUGAACGCUGGCGGCGUGCCUAAUACAUGCAAGUCGAGCGAACAGAUGGGGAGCUUGCUCCUCUGACGUUAGCGGCGGACGGGUGAGUAACACGUGGAUAACCUACCUAUAAGACUGGGAUAACUACGGGAAACCGGAGCUAAUACCGGAUAAUAUAUUGAACCGCAUGGUUCAAUAGUGAAAGACGGUUUUGCUGUCACUUAUAGAUGGAUCCGCGCCGCAUUAGCUAGUUGGUAAGGUAACGGCUUACCAAGGCAACGAUGCGUAGCCGACCUGAGAGGGUGAUCGGCCACACUGGAACUGAGACACGGUCCAGACUCCUACGGGAGGCAGCAGUAGGGAAUCUGCCGCAAUGGGCGAAAGCCUGACGGAGCAACGCCGCGUGAGUGAUGAAGGUCUUCGGAUCGUAAAACUCUGUUAUUAGGGAAGAACAAAUGUGUAAGUAACUAUGCACGUCUUGACGGUACCUAAUCAGAAAGCCACGGCUAACUACGUG
Molecule: ribosomal RNA, 497 nt
Filed under: uncultured bacterium
Lineage: Bacteria
Description: partial 16S ribosomal RNA
Rfam family: Bacterial small subunit ribosomal RNA
Source: RNAcentral